RNAcentral lists this small RNA (28 nucleotides) under Arabidopsis thaliana (thale cress). Its description in RNAcentral is "ATSL127900". The record is from RNAcentral. Lineage: Eukaryota; Viridiplantae; Streptophyta; Magnoliopsida; Brassicales; Brassicaceae.
UUUAUAGCUCAUCUUCUUCCUCGCCGUU